Molecule: non-coding RNA, 1193 nt
Organism: Paramuricea clavata
Lineage: Eukaryota; Metazoa; Cnidaria; Anthozoa; Malacalcyonacea; Plexauridae
Source: the annotation of a GenBank genome assembly
UACAAUAUAGGCCGGGUUCAACGAAAUGGCCUGAAAAUCGUUAAGUAAAAAGUUAAGUAAAUGACAUAGUAAACAUGUAAAAGUCCACCAUAUUGUGAAUCAGUGUCUAUUUAGGCUCUGCCGGCUAUAUUAUAUAUAUAAAAUAUAAAAAAUUAUUAGAUUACUCGCUCUCGAUUUCUAUGAGGUGAUACGCCCUCGUCAACUAUAUCACAUCAUAGAAAUAUCGAGCGAUUAAUCUCAUGGGCACCCUGUUAAAGGGGGCCCCAAAGGUGUAAUUUAAACAAUUUAUUUGGAACGUUUUCUACAUAAGUAAUGGUAUGAGAGGAUCUUUUAAACCUUCAUUUUACUGUUAUUGGUCCGAAAAAAUGUGUUCUAGCCAUGAUUUUGCAACUAUUUGUCACAAAAAGUUUUUGAACCUUUUUAUGGAUAUGUCCGGGAAAAAGUUUUUUCCUUCUUCUGCCCCCCCCCCCCCAACCUGCCACGAGGGCCCCCGAAAUUCUCUGUGCGGCCCUGAGUAAUCUAAUUGUUAAAUGGGUUUUUAUUCAAUACUCAAUAGUUGAUAUAUUUGUGCAUGCCAGCCGCCAUACAUAGAACAACUACUUCAUUUGAAUUAUUUCAAUGUAUUAAAGACUAGAUAUACAAGAUAAUUUUUUCUAUACCGUUUCUAUGCCAUUCACAAUAGUCAAUACAUAUAUAUAAUAUAAUAUAAUCGUAUAUUAUCCUUGAUAUAAUGUAUUUGCUUCUGCGGAUUUUCAUUUUUUGUCAACGUUUAAAGUUUCUAAAGCCCUUCGUAAUAGUUCGUAUAAAUUAACUUGGAAACAUUUUGCGGAAUCGAACGAUAGUUGUAAUUAGACUUUCCAAAGUCCGCGGUUCGUGGUUCGCGGUCCCUAGCGAGCGACUUGGGCAAGUCUAACAUGCAGGCCCGGAGCUACGGGGGGGUGUGGGGGGGUGUGACACCCCCCCAGUAAUUGUAUUCAGUCGGCAGGACUGCUAUUCAGUCGGUAGGACUGCUAUUCAGUCGGUAGAAGCUAUUUGGGUUAAAUAUUUUUGGCGCAAAGGGCAAUAACGUGGUGGGAAAUUUAGGAAAAUUUUGAGGAAAAAUGUAAAAAAUUUUCGAAAAAUUUUAAAAAAUGUUGAAAAUUUGCUGUGUGGAAAAUUUUUGAAUGUUCGGGAAAAUUUUUGUACGUCCGGAA